Small nucleolar RNA from Trichechus manatus latirostris (Florida manatee), 79 nucleotides. RefSeq annotates it as small nucleolar RNA SNORD115. Lineage: Eukaryota; Metazoa; Chordata; Mammalia; Sirenia; Trichechidae. The record is from RefSeq and is a predicted model, not a curated record. The transcript has a single exon.
GGCAAUGAUGACACCUAAACUUGUCUUCAAGAGUGAUGAUGACAUAAAAAUCCUGCUCAAUAGAAUUAUGUUGAGGACC